RNAcentral lists this ribosomal RNA (496 nucleotides) under uncultured bacterium. RNAcentral describes it as "partial 16S ribosomal RNA". It matches the Rfam family "Bacterial small subunit ribosomal RNA", at positions 29 to 507 of the family's 1533-position model. The record is from RNAcentral.
AUGAACGCUGGCGGCGUGCCUAAUACAUGCAAGUCGAGCGAACGGACGAGAAGCUUGCUUCUCUGAUGUUAGCGGCGGACGGGUGAGUAACACGUGGAUAACCUACCUAUAAGACUGGGAUAACUUCGGGAAACCGUAGCUAAUACCGGAUAAUAUUUUGAACCGCAUGGUUCAAAAGUGAAAGACGGUCUUGCUGUCACUUAUAGAUGGAUCCGCGCUGCAUUAGCUAGUUGGUAAGGUAACGGCUUACCAAGGCAACGAGGCAUAGCCGACCUGAGAGGGGGAUCGGCCCCACUGGAACUGGGACACGGUCCAGACUCCUACGGGAAGCAGCAGUAGGGAAUCUUACGCAAUGGGCGGAAACCUGGCGGAGCAACGCCGCGUGAGUGAUGAAGGUCUUCGGAUCGUAAAACUCUGUUAUUAGGGAAGAACAUAUGUGUAAGUAACUGUGCACAUCUUGACGGUACCUAAUCAGAAAGCCACGGCUAACUACGUG